ACGACCUUACUUGAACAGGAUCUGUUCUAUAGGUGCGUACCUCUGUGUCCUAGAGUUCUAAGGAGACAGGAAUCAAAGUCUGGCCGUGCGACCAGAGCGUGAGUAGCAGCUCCGUUGGCCUCCCGGGGCCACGGUUGCGGCGGAGGAUCGUCCUCAGCCCCCGGAAUCGGGGUUCUGGGGUGGUUGCAUGGCGUUCUGACAGACU
RNAcentral lists this small nucleolar RNA (205 nucleotides) under Punica granatum (pomegranate). RNAcentral's name for it is "Plant small nucleolar RNA U3". It matches the Rfam family "Plant small nucleolar RNA U3". Rfam says of the family: Small nucleolar RNAs (snoRNAs) are involved in the processing and modification of rRNA in the nucleolus. The record is from Rfam by way of RNAcentral. Lineage: Eukaryota; Viridiplantae; Streptophyta; Magnoliopsida; Myrtales; Lythraceae.